RNAcentral lists this ribosomal RNA (448 nucleotides) under uncultured bacterium. Its description in RNAcentral is "bacterial SSU rRNA". It matches the Rfam family "Bacterial small subunit ribosomal RNA", at positions 355 to 825 of the family's 1533-position model. The record is from RNAcentral.
UCGGGAAUUUUGGGCAAUGGGCGAAAGCCUGACCCAGCAACGCCGCGUGAAGGAUGAAGUAUUUCGGUAUGUAAACUUCGAAAGAAUAGGAAGAAUAAAUGACGGUACUAUUUAUAAGGUCCGGCUAACUACGUGCCAGCAGCCGCGGUAAUACGUAGGGACCAAGCGUUGUUCGGAUUUACUGGGCGUAAAGGGCGCGUAGGCGGCAAUUCAAGUCAUCUGUGAAAUCUCCGGGCUUAACUCGGAACGGUCAGAUGAUACUGCUUUGCUAGAGUGCAGAAGGGGCAAUCGGAAUUCUUGGUGUAGCGGUGAAAUGCGUAGAUAUCAAGAGGAACACCUGAGGUGAAGACGGGUUGCUGGGCUGACACUGACGCUGAGGCGCGAAAGCCAGGGGAGCAAACGGGGAUUAGAUACCCGUGUAGUCCCUGAGCGGGCUGGCAAGGCGCAU